Molecule: ribosomal RNA, 497 nt
Filed under: uncultured bacterium
Lineage: Bacteria
Description: partial 16S ribosomal RNA
Rfam family: Bacterial small subunit ribosomal RNA
Source: RNAcentral
GAUGAACGCUGGCGGCGUGCCUAAUACAUGCAAGUCGAGCGAACAGACGAGGAGCUUGCUCCUCUGACGUUAGCGGCGGACGUGUGAGUAACACGUGGAUAACCUACCUAUAAGACUGGGAUAACUUCGGGACACCGGAGCAAAUACCGGAGAAUAUAUUGAACCGCAGGGUUCAAUAGUGAAAGACGGUUUUGCUGUCACUUAUAGAUGGAUCCGCGCCGAAUUAGCUAGUUGGUAAGGUAACGGCUUACCAAGGCAACGAUGCGUAGCCGACCGGAGAGGGUGAUCGCCCACACUGGAAGUGAGACACGGACCAGACUCCUACGGGAGGCAGCAGUAGGGAAUCGUCGGCAAUGGGCGAAAGCUUGACGCAGCAACGCCGAGUGAGUGAUGAAGGUCUUCGGAUCGUAAAACUCUGUUAUUAGGGAAGAACAAAUGUGUAAGUAACUAUGCACGUCUUGACGGUACCUAAUCAGAAAGCCACGGCUAACUACGUG